This is a long non-coding RNA of Vigna angularis (adzuki bean), 389 nucleotides long. RefSeq lists it as uncharacterized. The record is from RefSeq and is a predicted model, not a curated record. The transcript has 4 exons. NCBI's taxonomy places the organism in Eukaryota, Viridiplantae, Streptophyta, Magnoliopsida, Fabales, Fabaceae.
UGUAAGUGAUCACUGGUUGUAUUGAUUUUAUUGUUCCUUUGUCUCUUGGGUGGUACUUGAACUUAAAGGGGGAAGAUCCGUGAAGUACUAAGGAAUUGGCCUGAGAAGAACAUCCAAGUCAUAGUUGUAACUGAUGGAGAACGAAUCCUGGGUCUUGGUGAUCUUGGUUGUCAGGGAAUGGGAAUACCGAUGGGAAACUUUCUUUAUAUACAGCACUUGGAGGAGUUCGCCCAUCAGCUUGUUUGCCUAUUACCAUUGAUGUGGGUACAAACAAUGAGCAAUUGCUGAAUGAUGAAUUAUACAUUGGGCUAAAGCAAAGACGUGCAACUGGGCAGGAGUACGCCAAGCUUAUGCACGAAUUUAUGACAGCACUCAAGCAAACUUAUGGA